Molecule: non-coding RNA, 83 nt
Organism: Mycena floridula
Lineage: Eukaryota; Fungi; Basidiomycota; Agaricomycetes; Agaricales; Mycenaceae
Source: the annotation of a GenBank genome assembly
GGGUGCAUGGUCUAGGGGUUACGAUUCUCGCUUUGGGUGUGGUUCAUUGCGAGAGGUCCUGAGUUCGAUUCUCAGUGCACCCC